GGCACGGCGGCCGCCUUCUUCUUGGCCUCCCUGAGGUCCGGCGCGCCGGCCUCCCGCGCGUCCUUGAGCGCCCUGAUGUCGACGAGCUGCACGCCGGGCUCCUCGAGCAGCCGCUGGUACGCCGUCCUCGCGGACACGACGGCGUAGGACUUGGACCCCCCGCCGCCGCCCCCCAGCAGCUGCCCGAGGAGCAGCGGCAGCGCAACGGCAGCUACGCUCGCGGCAAUGACGAUAGGGUUCUCGGUGACGAAGUCGACGAGCCCGUCGAGGCCGAGGUCCGGGAGCGUGAGCGCGAACUCGCCCCCGUCCCCGCCGGAGUCGGACGAGAGGCGCAGCGCCUCCUCG
This 345-nucleotide long non-coding RNA is filed under the name Setaria italica (foxtail millet). RNAcentral describes it as "long non-coding RNA (SITA_LNC000032)". The record is from RNAcentral. Lineage: Eukaryota; Viridiplantae; Streptophyta; Magnoliopsida; Poales; Poaceae.